GUAAUUUGCAGAAGGUGCUUCGGGCGCGACGGCGGUCCAAGUUCCUUGGAAUCGGACGUCGAAGAGGGUGAGAAUCCCGUAUCCGGCCGAUCGUCAAGCCCAUGCGAAGCCCUUUCGACGAGUCGAGUUGUUUGGGAAUGCAGCUCCAAGCGGGUGGUAAAUUUCAUCUAAAGCUAAAUACCUGCCAGAGACCGAUAGCGCACAAGUAGAGUGAUCGAAAGAUGAAAAGCACUUUGAAAAGAGAGUCAAACAGCACGUGAAAUUGUUGAAGGGGAAGCGCUUGCAACCAGACUCGCACGCGGGGGCUCAGCCGUUCCUCGGGACGGUGCACUCCCCCGCGAUCGGGCCAGCAUCGGUUUCGGCGGCCGGACAAAGGCCCGGGGAAAGUAGCUCCUUCGCCGGAGUGUUAUAGCCCCGGGUGCAAUACGGCCCGCCGGGACCGAGGACCGCGCUUUUGCUAGGAUGCUGGCGUAAUGGUUGCCAGCGACCCGUCUUGAAACACGGACCAAGGAGUCGACCGGCGACGCGAGUGUUCGGGCGUCAAACCCGGGCGCGCAAUGAAAGUGAACGGAGGUGGGAGCCCCCGGGCGCACCAUCGACCGAUCCUGAUGUCUUCGGAUGGAUUCGAGUACGAGCGCCGCCGGUCGGACCCGAAAGAUGGUGAGCUAUACGUGGAUAGGGUGAAGCCAGAGGAAACUCUGGUGGAGGCUCGCAGCGGUUCUGACGUGCAAAUCGAUCGUCAAAUCUGCGUAUAGGGGCGAAAGACUAAUCGAACCAUCUAGUAGCUGGUUCCUGUCGAAGUUUCCCUCAGGAUAGCAGCAACGAAGAACAGUCUCAUGAGGUAGAGCGAACGAUUAGAGGCCUUGGGGCGGAAACCGCCUUAACCUAUUCUCGAACUUCGAAUAUGUGAGAAGUCCCUGUUACUUGAUUGAACGGGGACACUUGGAUGUGUCGUUGCUAGUGGGCCAUUUUUGGUAGCAAAAACCUGGCGAA
This 993-nucleotide ribosomal RNA is filed under the name Diploschistes actinostomus. RNAcentral's name for it is "eukaryotic LSU rRNA". It matches the Rfam family "Eukaryotic large subunit ribosomal RNA", at positions 145 to 1157 of the family's 3401-position model. The record is from RNAcentral. Lineage: Eukaryota; Fungi; Ascomycota; Lecanoromycetes; Ostropales; Graphidaceae.